AGAGAUUGAAUCUGAACCGUCCAUUCUGGGAAGGGCAAACAAAACAGUGUUUGUGUCUCACGUUCUCUUCCUUCUCUAAUAGAGUCUUAAGCCGCUUUUUCACUCCUUAAACCCAAAAAAAAACAUUAGUACUAUUUCCUUCGGAGCCUGGCCGGCGAAUCCGACAGGUCGUUUCAGCUGUGUCCGAAGGAAAGUUCCAAUUUUUAUCUGUUUUUCUUCACGGAAAUCCAGUUAAGG
This 237-nucleotide small RNA is filed under the name Arabidopsis thaliana (thale cress). Its description in RNAcentral is "ATSL248190". The record is from RNAcentral. Lineage: Eukaryota; Viridiplantae; Streptophyta; Magnoliopsida; Brassicales; Brassicaceae.